RNAcentral lists this long non-coding RNA (1497 nucleotides) under Sparus aurata (gilthead seabream). Its description in RNAcentral is "lncRNA (ENSSAUG00010018358.1)". Lineage: Eukaryota; Metazoa; Chordata; Actinopteri; Spariformes; Sparidae. The record is from RNAcentral.
GUCAGGUAGACCACAAAGUAAAAGUACUUCCUGAAGCUUCAUUAACAGGCCUGCAGGUGACACAGGGACAACAGAUGCCUUCAAAUCCCGCACACAAGCUGUGACAGUGAACGCAUCACUGCACUUUUUUCCCCUACACAACUUCGACCCUCGUGUCUGUUAUAAUCAGCCAAAACGGUGUCAUUAAACGCAACACUUCAACACACACAUUCACUGUCAGCAUCACACACACAAACACACACACACACACACACAGUGAGCUUACCGGCUGGCAUCCUGGUGCUAAUGUACCGCAGUUCCUCCGUAUGCUGAGCACCGAUUGGUCCUGUGUUUGUCAGUUAGCCUCCAUGUAGCUUCUCCCGCUGGCUUCACUUCACCUGGUAUCGGAAUGUAACGUUAAAUCACCUGUUCGCGAGCUGACACGGCACAUUAAACACGCUGUUUUCAGUCUGAACAGUGAGACAUGAAGCGUCUGUAACGGGCUAAAGCUGUCCGCCGUCACACCAACUGACAACCCUGGAGACACUGAUUGUUAAAACAAAACAAGGCAAACGGGAAUUAGCUUGAGAAGCUAACGUGUCUAACGGCUGCGGCGGGUCGUUGGACACACACGGAGACGUUAGUGAGGUGUGUGAGGGACGAGCCGGUGAACAUACCUGUAGGUAAACAGCAGCAGGCAGAUUACCUCCUACACAUUACUACAGUGCUUCCUGCUUUACGGUGACAGACACACAACACGGAAGUGUGUGUGUGUGUGUGUGUGUGUGUGCUGCGGCGGCUCCGACCCCCCCGCUGCUGCUGCUCAACGUACACCGACCGUGGAGGAGCAGGAGACGGCUAAUUAUAGCAGCCCGAGGCGGGGAGAGGUCCACCGUGACCGGACCGCUCUGAAAUAUAAUGUACUUCCUCGACCGUUUACUCCGAGCUGAGGAGGAGGUGACAACAGGUUUCAGUUCACUUCUGUUGUAUUAUUAUGCUGUUUACAAGGUUCAUUAUAAGAGUGCAAGUCAGCAAGAAUGGACUGGGGUGUCCACAUAUUUAUUUAGCGUAGCUCUGCCACAAUAUCCAGCUACAGUUUACAGCUUUGCUCAGCUUUCACUCCUGAGCUGUCGGCAUCGCCUGUAGUUCACUGGGUUGAUCAAACUUCUAUGUUUAGGCCGUUCUUUCUAAAUCUGUACACAGUCAUGAAGUCUUGUUAAUCUCGUUAGGACCACUACGCACGCACACAAAGUUUAACUGAGAAGAACAAAUGUUCCUGCAACAUCACUGAUGAUGGCACAAGAGGAUGUGUUGUCAUCAAGAUCACCAUGAGACCAAAACUGUCCAACAGACAGUAAUUAUCCCAAACUUAACCAAAGUCAUCUCUCAGAGCUGGGGUGUGAAUGUUUGUGAAAGUGUGCCGGUUGUGCUUUUUAAGCUCUUAAGGACCUUUUCUGGGCCGACUGACGGACUUAGAGGUGAUUAAAGGCUUUGGCCCCACAGAUGGCGUGCCCAGCG